This 536-nucleotide ribosomal RNA is filed under the name Pichia membranifaciens. RNAcentral describes it as "eukaryotic LSU rRNA". It matches the Rfam family "Eukaryotic large subunit ribosomal RNA", at positions 84 to 639 of the family's 3401-position model. The record is from RNAcentral. Lineage: Eukaryota; Fungi; Ascomycota; Pichiomycetes; Pichiales; Pichiaceae.
UAGCGGCGAGUGAAGCGGCAAGAGCUCAGAUUUGAAAUCGUGCUAAUUUUUUUGGCACGAGUUGUAGAGUGUAGGCGGGAGUCUUUGUGGAGCACGGUGUCCAAGUCCCUUGGAACAGGGCGCCUGAGAGGGUGAGAGCCCCGUGGGGUGCCGUGCGAAGCUCUGAGGCCCUGCUGACGAGUCGAGUUGUUUGGGAAUGCAGCUCCAAGUGGGUGGUAAAUUCCAUCUAAGGCUAAAUACUGGCGAGAGACCGAUAGCGAACAAGUACUGUGAAGGAAAGAUGAAAAGCACUUUGAAAAGAGAGUGAAACAGCACGUGAAAUUGUUGAAAGGGAAGGGUAUUGGGCCCGACAUGGGGAGUGCGCACCGCUGUCUCUUGUAGGCGGCGCUCUGGGCGCUCUCUGGGCCAGCAUCGGUUCUUGCUGCGGGAGAAUGGGUGCCGGAAAGUGGCUCUUCGGAGUGUUAUAGCCGGCGCCAGAUACCGCGUGCGGGGACCGAGGACUGCGGCUUCUGUCUCGGAUGCUGGCACAUACGGCG